GCUGAAAGGCAAGAGUCCAAACUUUCCCGCGGCGACCUAACUGCACCUCCAGUGUCUUCCCCCAGAGGGCACAGAAGCAGCAAGAAGGGCGGGAACACUUGACUGGGGUCCAUGCAGCUCUAGGCUGAGUCUUGCAGGGCUGAGCCCCCCAGGCCUGCUCUCCUGUGUCCUGGCCGCUCCGUCAGUGCCUGCCAGUGGGGUCCAGAGGGACCGUUUUUUUAACGCCUCUUUUGCAGUGAGAUGCGCCUACUUCUCCCUGGAGAAGCUUGAGGAAGCAGAAAUGCUGGAGAUGAGCUGCUCCUCACUCUCACUCCUGGGUGUGCUGGGCAGUGGGGUGCAAUGUGCACGUAGGUGCACACUCUCCCUGGGCGGCAGCGAGCAGCAGAGGUCUGAUCUGUGGUCGGAUGACGAGAGGAAGUGCAAGUAAAGCAGCUGCAGCGAGACCUCGUCCGCACAGGGGCUUGUUCUUCUGUGUCUUUGCAGGGCUGUUUUGGACUCAGUAUUCACCUAAGCACUCCAAAUUACCCAGCACACCCUGCCUGCAUGGCGCUGCGCUGCACCUUCACUCUGGUCACGGGUCUGGCAGUCAGCUCACCAAUUCCUCCUGCUUCCCUGGGACUUGCCGGCUUUUAGCACUGCAAUUCACUCAGCAAACUGGGACUGUUGGUCACCCUACCUGGCAGCCAGUGAUAAGGUGAGGGCCACUCCUGGGAGGGAGGACACCUGUGGGGAAAAUUCUUGUGUUAUUUAUUUCUCCUUCGGGAUAGGGUGCCUGCAGCGCUUCAUGGGAGGGGGUGGGCUGAUGCUGCGGGCUCAGAAGUUUCAAGGGCAUCUGGGGAGACCAGAUAUUCAGAGACCUUCUAGAUGUGCCUGUUCCAUGUAUCAGGGACGCAGGUUUUCCCAACAGGGCUGGUGUCAUUGGCAUGACAGACCUGCCUUGGCUGAGCGUUCACCUGUCUUUGGAGUUCAGCCACCUUAGCAAGUCCUGGGUUUGUUCUUCAGACUUUGCUGCUCGCCCAUUGCCUGGAUCGGGGGCUACUUUGUAAACCACCAGGAAGACUCCAGUGUUUCUGGUUAAUUUUUAGAUGUUUGUUAAUUGCUCUUGGUCUCUCAUUAAUCCCCUGUGGGUCAUCCAGGAAACAUACUCACCACUGUCUGUUCUCUGAGUUUUCAUUUCCAGGCAUCCGCCCUGCCUGGAUCUCCUCACCUGCCAGGAACUUCCUCUCCACAAGCCGGCCAUCCCAGCAAAAGUUCUAACACCAAAGGUCUGGCAACUAGCCUGCCAUCUUGUGCCUGGAGCCGCCUGCGUGCCACCUACUCCCGAAGAUGGGAACCUUGUUGCCAGUUGGGCAGAUGCGGGGCAAUCCUGUACCAAGACCCCAUUUUACCACCUGCUUUCUCAGACCACUCUGGAACCCACUGUCUCAGAUUGUGUCCUCCAGGAAGCAGACCAUGAGAGGGAGUUGGCAGGGCCAAAGAUUUACUGGGGCUAACUAACACUCAGGAAAGGGAUAGGAAGGAAACAGGGCUGGAGAGCAGGUUGAGCCCGACCUGACAGUCUCGAGCAGCCCAACAGGGAGGUGUGGAGCAAGGGUUGCCCACUAGAGGGGCCUGCAUUGGGUACGGGUGAUGGGGUCCACAUGGUACCUGGCAUAUAGCAGGCUGUGCAAUCCAUAUUAACUGACUGGAUAAAUUAAUGCCCAGAAAAGGUGCCCUGGAGAAUGGGUGUGUGCUGAACACAAUAGGGAAGGGCCCAGCAUCUGCCUUGGCAUAGGCAGAACUGUGCUGUGCCCUGCAACAGGCCACCUGAGAGCUGCUUUGAUCUUGUGUGUACAUUAGAUGACUGCCAGGGGCAUGAAGGGGAUGUGCUUCCAGGGCAUUUGCUGGCAGGGCGUCUCGUGAUCUCUUGGUAUUGGUGUGAGCACAGCCUGGCAGGAGAGGGCAGAUCUCCAUGCAAAGUAUGUCAGAAAGCAGAUGGAAGCCAGGCCCCCUCCUGAAAGAGGCUCCUUGAAGGCUCCUGGGACCACAUUAUCAUUCUCUUCACUCGAGAGAUGAGGACACUGAAAUUCAGAGAGGGGAAGUGAUUUGCCUCAGCUUGUACUAAAGAAACAUUUCAACAGAGAACCCAGUGGAAAUUAUGACAUGUUAUCUUCUCAGAGUCCUGAACUCCCAUCCCUACCUCAGAAGAGACUCCUCUGUUCACAGAAGCUAAAGGCAGUUCCUUCCCAAUGGCAACUAUGUUUGGAUGUUGGAUCUACACUUUCUCAAGCACUGUGAUCUUCAAAUCAAAGGAGAUUUCUCCCAUUAUAUACUUCUUAUGAUCAACAAAUUCCAUCAUCUCCCCACUAAGAGAAAGUACUCCAAGAUGAUAGAAUGAUUUUAAAGUUAUGGGACUACAACAGCAGCCACAGGAACCUUGAACUGCCAUCCAGGGCCAUGCAGCAAACAAGCAACAGGGAAAUAUCCCACUAUGCAAUCCUAUUUUGAGAUGAUAUUUAGGAUGAGAGAACAUGCAUUAGUUACCUACCAGCUUGACAGGAAUGGAUUUCCAAAUCUGACACACCAUAGCCUGAAUUCUCACCAGUUUGCUCCUGGAAAGGCCCGCUCAUGCAUGAGCCCCUGCCACUCUUCUAAAUAAGCUUCCAGGCAUUACCUGCAUGCUGUGUUCCUGUGGUGGGAUGGCAGUAAUCUCUGCUAAGAUAAACGGGAGCUUCUGUGGAUAAAGCAUAAACGCAGUGAAGUGUGUGUGGCUGGAAGAUUUAAUGCCUCUACAGUGCUUAGAUACAAGUUGAGCUUGGAAUUCCAGAGGUAGAGCACUGCUGAUUGGAGACAUAUUAAGUAAAAUGUACUGUGGAAAUGAGAUAAAACCUUUAUUCUUGCUAAUGAUUGUCAUUGUAUGUAUUCAGGUGUCCAACAAAGGAUUUUAGAAUAAAGUGUGCCUUUAAAGUUUC
This 2951-nucleotide long non-coding RNA is filed under the name Homo sapiens (human). Its description in RNAcentral is "EOLA2 divergent transcript". Lineage: Eukaryota; Metazoa; Chordata; Mammalia; Primates; Hominidae. The record is from RNAcentral.